RNAcentral lists this transfer RNA (76 nucleotides) under Spirochaetaceae bacterium. RNAcentral's name for it is "tRNA-Gln". It matches the Rfam family "tRNA". From Rfam's summary of the family: Transfer RNA (tRNA) molecules are approximately 80 nucleotides in length. Lineage: Bacteria; Pseudomonadati; Spirochaetota; Spirochaetia; Spirochaetales; Spirochaetaceae. The record is from RNAcentral.
UGGGACGUGGCCAAGUGGUUAAGGCACCGGGUUUUGAUCCCGGCAUCCGGAGGUUCGAAUCCUCCCGUCCCAGUCA